This 448-nucleotide ribosomal RNA is filed under the name uncultured prokaryote. Its description in RNAcentral is "bacterial SSU rRNA". It matches the Rfam family "Bacterial small subunit ribosomal RNA", at positions 355 to 796 of the family's 1533-position model. The record is from RNAcentral.
UCGGGAAUCUUGCACAAUGGGCGAAAGCCUGAUGCAGCAACGCCGUGUGAGCGAGGAAGGUCUUCGGAUCGUAAAGCUCUGUUGUUGGGGACGAAGGGCGAAGGGUUAAUAGCCCCUAGCCUGACGGUACCCUUCGAGGAAGCCCCGGCUAACUACGUGCCAGCAGCCGCGGUAAUACGUAGGGGGCGAGCGUUGUUCGGAAUUACUGGGCGUAAAGCGCACGUAGGCGGACCGUUAAGUCGGGGGUGAAAUCCCGGGGCUCAACCCCGGAACUGCCUCCGAUACUGGUGGUCUUGAGUCCGAGAGAGGAUGGUGGAACACCCAGUGUAGAGGUGAAAUUCGUAGAUAUUGGGUAGAACACCGGUGGCGAAGGCGACCAUCUGGCUCGGUACUGACGCUGAGGUGCGAAAGUGUGGGGAGCAAACAGGAUUAGAUACCCGCGUAGUCC